Molecule: ribosomal RNA, 937 nt
Filed under: uncultured bacterium
Lineage: Bacteria
Description: bacterial SSU rRNA
Rfam family: Bacterial small subunit ribosomal RNA
Source: RNAcentral
GAGUUUGAUCCUGGCUCAGGAUGAACGCUAGCGGCAGGCUUAACACAUCCAUUUCGAGGGGUAGAAGCAGCUUGCUGCUUUGAGACCGGCGCAUGGGUGCGUAACGCGUAUACAAUCUACCUUUUACAGAGGGAUAGCCCAGAGAAAUUUGGAUUAAUACCUCAUAGUAUUUUCGAAUCGCAUGAUUUGAUUAUUAAAGUUCCAACGGUAAAAGAUGAGUAUGCGUCCCAUUAGCUAGAUGGUAAGGUAACGGCUUACCAUGGCAACGAUGGGUAGGGGUCCUGAGAGGGAGAUCCCCCACACUGGUACUGAGACACGGACCAGACUCCUACGGGAGGCAGCAGUGAGGAAUAUUGGACAAUGGGCGCAAGCCUGAUCCAGCCAUGCCGCGUGCAGGAAGACGGUCCUAUGGAUUGUAAACUGCUUUUAUACAGGAAGAAACACACCCUCGUGAGGGUACUUGACGGUACUGUAUGAAUAAGCAUCGGCUAACUCCGUGCCAGCAGCCGCGGUAAUACGGAGGAUGCAAGCGUUAUCCGGAAUCAUUGGGUUUAAAGGGUCCGUAGGCGGCCAAAUAAGUCAGUGGUGAAAGCCCAUCGCUCAACGAUGGAACGGCCAUUGAUACUGUUUGGCUUGAAUUAUUAGGAAGUAACUAGAAUAUGUAGUGUAGCGGUGAAAUGCUUAGAGAUUACAUGGAAUACCAAUUGCGAAGGCAGGUUACUACUAAUAUAUUGACGCUGAUGGACGAAAGCGUGGGGAGCGAACAGGAUUAGAUACCCUGGUAGUCCACGCCGUAAACGAUGGAUACUAGCUGUUCGGAGCAAUCUGAGUGGCUAAGCGAAAGUGAUAAGUAUCCCACCUGGGGAGUACGUUCGNCAGAAAUGAACUCNAAGGAAUUGACGGGGGCCCGCACAAGCGGUGGAGCAUGUGGUUUAAU